GGUUAAUGAAAAUAAGUGAAAAUAAGCCAAAAUCAAAAUUUUAGAAUUUGACCUUGACCUUUGACCUUGACCUAAUUUUCAUUUUUUUGGACCAAGGAUCUUAAAUCAAAAGACCCUAGGUCUCUAUCACUUAUAGUUUACCAGUUAGAAAUGCAUAUCACUUAUAUCAUAUAUAAAAGGGGGAUAACUCUCAUAUGGAGUCUCCGGAUAGCUUCGGUCAAAAUGAAACAGAACAUCCUGAGGAUGUAACGAGCAAUUUGGUAAAAUAAAUUUGUCGUAAUCUUUUACGGUUGCGAAGGAGUAGUGGCCACAAGAAAAACAGUGUUCGGGGAGAUAACUCUUACAAGGUAAAGUUUUUUUGUUACGCGGUGUCAGUUUCAGAAGCGUAUUAACUGUUCGAUAUCAUAUACCAUAAUAUCUAAGCGACAUCUUGUGAAACAAAAAACAGCGAAGGAAAAAAAGUUGGCGGAAGAAAAAAAAAAAAAAAAAAAUAAUAAUAAUUAAAAACCAAUUGUUCAAAGAACAAUUGAAGGUCUUUCAACCAAUAAAGGAUCUAUUUUGAUAUGAAAAUAUUAAAAUUCAGUUGAAAAUGUCAGUUCCUAUGGCUUUAAUGAUGUAUAAAUAUGAAUUUUAAAGCAAAGGUCAAAAUCUAGAACGUCCAAUUAACCUAUGACCUUGACCUCAAUUUCAAGGUCAUAGACUAAACAUCUCAAAUCAAAAAGACACUAGUUCCUUAAUAUGUAUGGUUCAUGAGUAAUAUCACUUUACGCAUAAUUCUAAAUAUAAGAGGGGCGAAAACUCCCAUUUAUUGUCUACGCACCCUUGCAACCAAAAUUUAUAAGUUACGACAUGUCGCAACUAACAAUUUAGUAAAAAUAAUUUGUCGAUAUCUUAUAAGGUUAAUGAAAAUAAGUGAAAAUAAGCCAAAAUCAAAAUUUAGAAUUUGACCUUGACCUUUGACCUUGACCUAAUUUUCAUUUUUUUGGACCAAGGAUCUUAAAUCAAAAGACCCUAGGUCUCUAUCACUUAUGGUUUACCAGUUAGAAAUGCAUAUCACUUAUAUCAUAUAUAAAAGGGGGGAUAACUCUCAUAUGGAGUCUCCGGAUAGCUUCGGUCCAAAUGAAACAGAACAUCCUGAGGAUAUAACGAGCAAUUUGGAAAAAUAAAUUUGUCGGUUUUCUUUUAUACGGUUGCGAAGGAGUAGUGGCCACAAGAAAAACAGUGUUCGGGGAGAUAACUCUUACAAGGUAAAGGUUUUUUGUUACGCGGUGUCAGUUUCAGAAGCGCAUUAACUGUUCGAUAUCAUAUUACCAAAUAUCUAAGCGACAUCUUGUGAAACAAAAAAACAGCGAAGGAAAAAAAAGUUGGCGGAAGAAAAAAAAAAAAAAAAAAAUAAUAAUAAUAAUAAUCAGAACAAUAAAUAGGUCUUUCAAUUGAAGAACAAUUCAAUGGUCUUUCAAAGAAAAGACAAUAAUUAAAAACCAAUUGUUCAAGAACAAUUGAAGGUCUUUCACUAAGGAUCUAUUUAGAUAUGAAAUAUUAAAAAUUCAGUUGAAAAUGUCAGUUCCUAUGGCUUAAUGAUGUAUAAAUAUGAAUUUUAAGCAAAGGUCAAAAUCUAGAACGUCCAAUUAACCUAUGACCUUGACCUCAAUUUCAAGGUCAUAGACUAAACAUCUCAAAUAAAAGACACUAGUUCCUUAAUAUGUAUGGUUCAUGAGUAAAAUCACUUUACGCAUAAUUCUUAAAUAUAAGAGGGGCGAAAACUCCCUUUUAUUGUUUACGCACCCUCGCAACCAAAAUUUAUAAGUUACGACAUGUCGCAACUAACAAUUUAGUAAAAAAAAAUUGUCGAUAUCUUAUAAGGUUAAUGAAAAAAGGUGAAAAAUAAGCCAAAAUCAAAAUUAAGAAUUUGACCUUGACCUUUGACCUUGACCUAAUUUUCAUUUUUUUGGACCAAGGAUCUUAAAUCAAAAGACCCUAGGUCUCUAUCACUUAUAGUUUACCAGUUAGAAAUGCAUAUCACUGAUAUCAUAUAUAAAAGGGGGAUAACUCUCAUAUGGAGUCUCCGGAUAGCUUCGGUUGAAAUGAAACAGAACAUCCUAAGGAUAUAACGAGCAAUUUGGAAAAAUAAAUUUGUCGGUUUCUUAUACGGUUGCGAAGUAGUAGUGGCCACAAGAAAAACAGUGUUUGGGGAGAUAACUCUUACAAGGUAAAGUUUUUGUUACGCGGUUGUCAGUUUCAGAAGCGUAUUAAACUGUUCGAUAUCAUAUACCAAAUAUCUAAGCGACAUCUUGUGAAACAAAAAAACAGCGAAGGAAAAAAAAGUUGGCGGAAGAAAAAAAAAAAAAAAAUAAUAAUAAUAAUAAUAAUAAUAAUAAUAAUCAGAACAAAUAUAGGUCUUUCAACUGAAAGGUUGAAAGACCUAAUUAAAAACCAAUUGUUCAGAGAACAAUUGUAGGUCUUUCCACUAGUAAAGAUCUAUUUUGAUAUUGAAAUAUUAAAAAUCAGUUUAAAAUGUUAGUUCCUAUGGCUUUAUGAUGUAUUUAUAUGAAUUUAAAGCAAAGGUCAAAAUCUAGAACGUCAUAUUAACCUAUGACCUUGACCUCAAUUUCAAGUUCACAAACCAAGGACCUUAAAUCAAAAGACCCAAGGUCUUUAAUAUGUUUGGUUUAUUAGUAAUAUCACUUUACGCGUAAUUCUAAAUGUAAGAUGGGCAAAAACUCCCAUUUAUUGUCUGCGCACCCUUUCAAUCAAAAUAUACAAGUAAGGACAUGUCGCAACUAACAAUUUAUGAAAAAAUUAUUUGUCGAUAUGUCAUAAGGUAUUUGAAAAUAAAUGAAAAUAAGCCAAAAUCAAAAUUUAGAAUAUGACCUUGACCUUUGACCUUGACCUCAUUUUUAUUAUUUUCGACCAAGGACCCCAAAUCUAAAGACCCUAUGUCUUUAUCACUUAUGGUUUACCAUUUAGAAAUGCAUAUCACUUAAUUAAAUGGAAAAGGGGGAAUAACUCUCAUAUGGAGUCUCCGUAAAGCUUCGGUCCAAAUGAAUAUCCUAAUCCUGAAGAUGUAACGAGCAAUUUGGUAAAAUAAAUUUGUCGUAAUCUUUAACGGUUGCGAAGGAGUAGUGGCCACAAGAAAAACAGUGUUUGGGGAGAUAACUCUUACAACGUAAAGUAUUUUGUUACGCAGUUGUAAAUUUUUAAAGCGUAUAAACUAUACGAUACCAUAUUCCAAAUAUCUAAGCGACAUCUUUUGAAACAUCAAAAAUACGCAAGAAAAAAAAUUAGGCGGAAGAAAAAAAAAAAAAAUAAUAAUAAUAAUAAUCAGAACAAAUUCAAUAGGUCUUUCCACGGAAAGGUGGAAAGACCUAAUUAAAAACCAAUUGUUCAGAGAACAAUUGAAGGUCUUUCAACCAAUAAGGAUCUAUUUUGAUAUGAAAAUAUUAAAAUUCAGUUGAAAAUGUCAGUUCCUAUGGCUUUAUGAUGUAUAAAUAUAUGAAUUUUAAGCAAAGGUCAAAAUCUAGAACGUCCAAUUAAACCUAUGACCUUGACCUCAAUUUCAAGGUCAUAGACUAAACAUCUCAAAUAAAAAAGACACUAGUUCCUUAAUAUGUAUGGUUCAUGAGUAAAAUCACUUUACGCAUAAUUCUUAAUAUAAGAGGGGCGAAAACUCCCUUUUAUUGUUUACGCACCCUUUGCAACCAAAAAUUUAUAAGUUACGACAUGUCGCAACUAACAAUUUAGUAAAAAAAAUUUGUCGAUAUCUUAUAAGGUUAAUGAAAAAAGGUGAAAAUAAGCCAAAAUCAAAAUUUAGAAUUUGACCUUGACCUUUGACCUUGACCUAAUUUUCAUUUUUUUGGACCAAGGAUCUUAAAUCAAAAGACCCUAGGUCUCUCUAUCACUUAUAGGUUUACCAGUUAGAAAUGCAUAUCACUGAUAUCAUAUAUAAAAGGGGGGAUAACUCUCAUAUGGAGUCUCCGGAUAGCUUCGGUUGAAAUGAAACAGAACAUCCUAAGGAUAUAACGAGCAAUUUGGAAAAAUAAAUUUGUCGUAAUCUUUAUUACGGUUGCGAAGGAGUAGUGGCCA
This 4083-nucleotide long non-coding RNA is filed under the name Mytilus galloprovincialis (Mediterranean mussel). The record is from RNAcentral. Lineage: Eukaryota; Metazoa; Mollusca; Bivalvia; Mytilida; Mytilidae.